Molecule: long non-coding RNA, 255 nt
Organism: Melanotaenia boesemani (Boeseman's rainbowfish)
Lineage: Eukaryota; Metazoa; Chordata; Actinopteri; Atheriniformes; Melanotaeniidae
Exons: 3
Source: RefSeq, a predicted model, not a curated record
UCCUCAGGUAAAGCAGGGAAUAAUAUCCUGAAAGGGCUCCAGAAACAGUCAGGAUGAUCCACAAUCCAAACAAGUAGAGAUUUAAGAAGCCAAGAGUCAUAAACAGGGGUAGGAGGCAGACUACUUAGCUGGGGCAGGCGAAUAUCCGUGGUCGUUCCAAAACAGGUCAAAAUCCAGGAGAGCACAAGGCAGGAGCAGUCCGACAGGAGAUGAGGCAAGAGAAGUCCAAGGGCCGUAACUGGGCCUUCACAAGUG